Molecule: ribosomal RNA, 253 nt
Filed under: uncultured bacterium
Lineage: Bacteria
Description: partial 16S ribosomal RNA
Rfam family: Bacterial small subunit ribosomal RNA
Source: RNAcentral
UACGUAGGGUGCAAGCGUUGUCCGGAAUUAUUGGGCGUAAAGCGCGCGUAGGCGGCCGCUUAAGUCGGAUGUGAAAGCCCCUGGCUCAACUGGGGAAGUGCACCCGAAACUGAAUGGCUUGAAUGCAAAAGAGGGUCGCGGAAUUCCCGGUGUAGAGGUGAAAUUCGUAGAUAUCGGGAGGAACACCGGUGGCGAAGGCGGCGACCUGGGUUGACAUUGACGCUGAGGCGCGAAAGCGUGGGGAGCAAACAGG